Molecule: ribosomal RNA, 253 nt
Filed under: uncultured bacterium
Lineage: Bacteria
Description: partial 16S ribosomal RNA
Rfam family: Bacterial small subunit ribosomal RNA
Source: RNAcentral
UACGGAGGGGGCGAGCGUUAUUCGGAAUUAUUGGGCGUAAAGGGCGCGUAGGCGGCUUGAUAAGCGUGCGGUGAAAGCCCGGGGCUCAACCCCGGGUCGGCCGUGCGAACUGUCGAGCUGGAGCACUGUAGAGGCAGGUGGAAUUCCGGGUGUAGCGGUGGAAUGCGUAGAGAUCCGGAAGAACACCGGUGGCGAAGGCGGCCUGCUGGGCAGUGGCUGACGCUGAGGCGCGACAGCGUGGGGAGCAAACAGG